CCCUUAGAUGUUCUGGGCCGCACGCGCGCUACACUGACGGAGUCAACGAGUUGUCCUGCAUCGGAAGGUGUGGGUAAUCUUUUGAAACUUCGUCGUGCUGGGGAUAGAUCUUGCAAUUUUCGAUCUUGAACGAGGAAUUCCUAGUAAGCGUGAUUCAUCAGAUCGCGUUGAUUACGUCCCUGCCCUUUGUACACACCGCCCGUCGCUCCUACCGAUUGAGCAAUCCGGUGAAUACUUUGGACUGGUGACAAGUCUGGUCCUGCCAGCCUCGUCACUGGAAAAUUGAGUGAACCUUAUUGCUUAGAGGAAGGAGAAGUCGUAACA
Molecule: ribosomal RNA, 324 nt
Filed under: uncultured eukaryote
Lineage: Eukaryota
Description: partial 18S ribosomal RNA
Rfam family: Eukaryotic small subunit ribosomal RNA
Source: RNAcentral